This 69-nucleotide transfer RNA is filed under the name Heleophryne regis (royal ghost frog). RNAcentral's name for it is "tRNA-Phe". It matches the Rfam family "tRNA". From Rfam's summary of the family: Transfer RNA (tRNA) molecules are approximately 80 nucleotides in length. Their secondary structure includes four short double-helical elements and three loops (D, anti-codon, and T loops). The record is from RNAcentral. Lineage: Eukaryota; Metazoa; Chordata; Amphibia; Anura; Heleophrynidae.
GCCCACGUAGCUUAACUUAAAGCAUGACACUGAAGAUGUUAAAAUGGACCCUUAAAAGUCCCGCGAGCA